Molecule: ribosomal RNA, 301 nt
Filed under: uncultured bacterium
Lineage: Bacteria
Description: partial 16S ribosomal RNA
Rfam family: Bacterial small subunit ribosomal RNA
Source: RNAcentral
CAGUAGCCGCGGUAAUACGUAGGUCCCGAGCGUUGUCCGGAUUUAUUGGGCGUAAAGCGAGCGCAGGCGGUUAGAUAAGUCUGAAGUUAAAGGCUGUAGCUUAACCAUAGUACGCUGUGGAAACUGUUUAACUUGAGUGCAAGAGGGGGGAGUGGAAUUCCAUGUGUAGCGGUGAAAUGCGUAGAUAUAUGGAGGAACACCGGUGGCGAAAGCGGCUCUCUGGCUUGUAACUGACGCUGAGGCUCGAAAGCGUGGGGAGCAAACAGGAUUAGAUACCCCCGUAGUCCCUGUCUCUUAUACA